AGUGGCAGACGGGUGAGUAAUGUAUAGGAAUCUACCUAGUAGUACGGAAUAAUUGUUGGAAACGGCAACUANNNCCGUAUACGCCCUACGGGGGAAAAAUUUAUUGCUAUUAGAUGAGCCUAUAUUAGAUUAGUUAGUUGGUGAGGUAAAGGCUUACCAAGACAAUGAUCUAUAGCUGAUCUGAGAGGAUGAUCAGCCACACUGGAACUGAGAUACGGUCCAGACUCCUACGGGAGGCAGCAGUGGGGAAUAUUGGACAAUGGGCGAAAGCCUGAUCCAGCCAUGCCGCAUGAGUGAAGAAGGCCUUCGGGUUGUAAAGCUCUUUUAGUGAGGAAGAUAAUGACGGUACUCACAGAAGAAGUCCUGGCUAACUCCGUGCCAGCAGCCGCGGUAAUACGGAGAGGGCUAGCGUUAUUCGGAAUCAUUGGGCGUAAAGGGCGCGUAGGCGGGUUAGUAAGUUAAAAGUGAAAUCCCAAGGCUCAACCUUGGAACUGCUUUUAAAACUGCUAGUCUAGAGAUUGAAAGAGGANAGAGGAAUUCCUAGUGUANAGAUGAAAUUCGUAAAUAUUAGGAGGAACAC
This 580-nucleotide ribosomal RNA is filed under the name uncultured Wolbachia sp. RNAcentral's name for it is "bacterial SSU rRNA". It matches the Rfam family "Bacterial small subunit ribosomal RNA", at positions 94 to 709 of the family's 1533-position model. Lineage: Bacteria; Pseudomonadati; Pseudomonadota; Alphaproteobacteria; Rickettsiales; Anaplasmataceae. The record is from RNAcentral.